Long non-coding RNA from Branchiostoma belcheri (Belcher's lancelet), 1666 nucleotides. RefSeq lists it as uncharacterized. The transcript is spliced from 3 exons. The record is from RefSeq and is a predicted model, not a curated record. Lineage: Eukaryota; Metazoa; Chordata; Leptocardii; Amphioxiformes; Branchiostomatidae.
UCUAGAAAGUGUUUGUUGCAGUCAGUUGUGGUAUCAUCUAUCUAUGAAAGCUUGAUGGCGUUAUAUAUAGGUGUAGUGCAGGUAUGGUUUACAUGUGUGUCAGUUUGCUUGUAUGAGUUACUCGAAGGUAAAACAGCUGUUAUGUAACAGUUCUAGAAGCUCUGGGUACAGAGUAAGUUUUUCUAGUCACCCUGGGGGCAUUUAUUAUUAUUGUUGUAGUCAGUGUGACUAUGAUACCAUCUAUCUUAUGAAAGCUUGAUGACUUAACAUAGUUAAAAUAUGAUUAGUGUAUGUGUCAGUUUUGUUACUAUGAGUGAGAUGUGAAUUAACCUGAAAUGAAUUUCGAACUUCAAUUUUUCUUUUAUUUAAAGCACCUUGUAAUCACCUCCUCUGUGAUUUUAGAUGCUCGGUCUCCAGUCCAGGACACGGAAGACCCAGAGGGAAAUGAGAGAGAUCUGAACACAAAGGAUGCCACAUAUGGCCUUCAGGAGCUGACAGAAGAUGGUGACGUCACAGUUACAACUUCUCUGAGAGAAGAGGAAGAGGAUCUGUACAAGGAGACACCAGUGUAACCUCAGAGAGGCUGCUGUAUCCUGCAGUUACAUCAUGGACAUGGACUCUUGGUAUUUUAAAAUUGGCAGUAUUUACCAAGUCGAUGUGUUCAGUCUGUAUUAGGACCGUAUUUUUCUAGCCUGGUAAUCAUUUAUACUCAGUACCUUUCAAUGUUACAAAAACUGUUCUUAAGGCCACAAUAAGUUAAUCAAUUGGUUCUUGCAAAGUUCAAGAGUCAUUGUUUGCAUUGGAAACUAGCCUAAGUCUAUUAUGUUGACUUCAUGGCUCCUAUAGCCUAGAAGUCCCUCUGUAGCAUUUGGGGGUACCAUAGAAUGUGAGCAAUAAGUUUGUGCAAGGUUGGUCCCAGAAAAUAGUGAAUUUCAAAGUCUUCAGAAAGAUUCAAAUACAGUAUUCCAUCAGAUAUUUUUAGGAUUAAGAAGAUUGUAUUUUAGUGUGAAAUGAUAUUUUCACCCUCAAUAACAUUAAAGGUAAAAAGUUAUGGAUUACAUUAAUUAUUUUACAUUAUUGAUAGAUUUUUUAGAUUAGCUUGCCUUGUAGAUAGGGCUUCUAACUGUCUUCUUUCUCUGCUUAGCACUCUGCGCUUGAGUAUAUGACUUAGUCUGCACUAAAAGUGGACUAUCCCCCAGUGCUGUAGUGCUUGCACAACUGUGUGGCCCAAGGGUAUAGAACUGUGGGCCCUGAAAAGUGUAGGAAGUAUUUAACUUCUAACAAGGCAUCUAAGUGUGUCAUGUAAUGUAUUGCUGUUGGAGGCAAUUCUCUGAGAAAAGUAUCAUAAGUUGUAAUUCAGUCUCAGAGAUUUUCCAGGGUCUUCCAAAGGCAAGUACAUAUAUGUAUUUCUAUCAUGUCCAGGCCUUGGUAGUACAUUUUACAUGUUCUUAUUCAGGUCUGCCAGUUAGUAUAGAAGUCUGGUCCAUUAUAUUUGUCCAUUAGAGAUGGCCUGAGCACUACAGCAGGCUAGCACUUCUUCACAAAACUAGCUUAGCUUCCAACAAACACAUGGUGCUUGUGGGAACUGCAGCCAUAUCACCUGGUCACCUACUGUUGCUGGGCUGAUGGGUUGGGUAAUUACAUGUAAGUCAACCUUGGAGACGUA